CUACGGGUGGCUGCAGUGGGGAAUAUUGGACAAUGGGCGCAAGCCUGAUCCAGCAAUGCCGCGUGAGUGAAGACGGCCUUAGGGUUGUAAAACUCUUUCGCUAGGGAAGAUAAUGACUGUACCUAGUAAAGAAGUCCCGGCUAACUCCGUGCCAGCAGCCGCGGUAAUACGGAGGGGACUAGCGUUGUUCGGAAUUACUGGGCGUAAAGAGUUCGUAGGCGGACUGACAAGUUAGAGGUGAAAUCCCAGGGCUCAACCCUGGAACUGCCUUUAAAACUGUCAGUCUAGAGACCGGAAGAGGUUAGGGGAAUACCUAGUGUAGAGGUGAAAUUCGUAGAUAUUAGGUGGAACACCAGUGGCGAAGGCGCCUAACUGGUCCGGUACUGACGCUGAGGAACGAAAGCGUGGGGAGCAAACAGGAUUAGAUACCCGGUAGUC
RNAcentral lists this ribosomal RNA (438 nucleotides) under uncultured bacterium. Its description in RNAcentral is "partial 16S ribosomal RNA". It matches the Rfam family "Bacterial small subunit ribosomal RNA", at positions 339 to 795 of the family's 1533-position model. The record is from RNAcentral.